RNAcentral lists this ribosomal RNA (508 nucleotides) under uncultured bacterium. RNAcentral describes it as "partial 16S ribosomal RNA". It matches the Rfam family "Bacterial small subunit ribosomal RNA", at positions 899 to 1397 of the family's 1533-position model. The record is from RNAcentral.
ACUCAAAGGAAUUGACGGGGACCCGCACAAACGGUGGAGCAUGUGGUUUAAUACGACGAUACGCGUGGAACCUUACCCAGACUUGACAUGUAUUAGAAAUCCUUAUGAAAGUUUGGACCCCUCGCAAGAGGCUGAUACACAGGUGUUGCAUGGCUGUCGUCAGCUCGUGUCGUGAGAUGUUGGGUUAAGUCCCGCAACGAGCGCAACCCUUAUCAUUAGUUGCUACCACUAUCUUCGGAUGGUGCGCACUCUAACGAGACUGCCGCUGAUAAAGCGGAGGAAGGUGGGGAUGACGUCAAGUCAGUACGGCCCUUACGUCUGGGGCUACACACGUGCUACAAUGGCUGGUACAAAAGGUUGCAAUACCGCGAGGUGGAGCUAAUCCCUAAAACCAGCCCCAGUUCAGAUUGCAGGCUGCAACUCGUCUGCAUGAAGCCGGAAUCGUUAGUAAUCACGUAUCAGCCACGACGUGGUGAAUACGUUCCCGGGUCUUGCACACACCGCCCGU